This 150-nucleotide small nuclear RNA is filed under the name Myotis davidii. RNAcentral describes it as "U12 minor spliceosomal RNA". It matches the Rfam family "U12 minor spliceosomal RNA". From Rfam's summary of the family: Although the U12 sequence is very divergent from that of U2, the two are functionally analogous. Lineage: Eukaryota; Metazoa; Chordata; Mammalia; Chiroptera; Vespertilionidae. The record is from Rfam by way of RNAcentral.
AUGCCUUAAACUUAUGAGUAAGGAAAAUAACGAUUCGGGGUGAUGCCCGAAUUCUCACUGCUAAUGUGAGAUGAAUUUUUGAGUGGGUAAAGGUUGCCCCUAAGGUGACCCGUCUACUUUGCAAAACGCCUGGGAUUUUCAAUCUGCCCG